UACAGUCAUAUCAUGUUGAAACACCAUUUCUCAUCUGAUCACCAAAAUUAAGCAAUGUUGAUCCUGGCCAGUACCUAGAUGGGUGACUGCUUGAAAAUACCAGGUACUGUAAG
Non-coding RNA from Acanthosepion pharaonis, 113 nucleotides. The record is from the annotation of a GenBank genome assembly. Lineage: Eukaryota; Metazoa; Mollusca; Cephalopoda; Sepiida; Sepiidae.